This 46-nucleotide non-coding RNA is filed under the name Schistosoma mansoni. Lineage: Eukaryota; Metazoa; Platyhelminthes; Trematoda; Strigeidida; Schistosomatidae. The record is from RNAcentral.
GCACUACCGAGAAGUCCCACAAUAGGACGAAACGGCCGUCCAGUGU